RNAcentral lists this ribosomal RNA (306 nucleotides) under uncultured bacterium. Its description in RNAcentral is "partial 16S ribosomal RNA". It matches the Rfam family "Bacterial small subunit ribosomal RNA", at positions 507 to 808 of the family's 1533-position model. The record is from RNAcentral.
GACAGCAGCCGCCGCGGUAAUACGUAGGGGGCAAGCGUUGUCCGGAAUUAUUGGGCGUAAAGCGCGCGCAGGCGGUCAUGUAAGUCUGGUGUUUAAUCCCGGGGCUCAACCCCGGAUCGCACUGGAAACUGGGUGACUUGAGUGCAGAAGAGGAGAGUGGAAUUCCACGUGUAGCGGUGAAAUGCGUAGAGAUGUGGAGGAACACCAGUGGCGAAGGCGACUCUCUGGGCUGUAACUGACGCUGAGGCGCGAAAGCGUGGGGAGCAAACAGGAUUAGAUACCCCAGUAGUCCCUGUCUCUUAUACA